GGCCCGGCGGGGGCGGCGAGCGCGCGUCCCCCCGCCCGCUCAGGCAGCGUCGAGGCGCGAGCAGCUCAGCCAGCCUUGCAGAGGGAGCUCUCGGCAGCUCUGGGGUCUCUCUGCUCGCAGCCGCAGCAGCGCCGCCUGCGCCACUCGGCGGAGACGGAGACCAGAGGCGGCGGCGCGCGGACUGGGAGCGACCGCAGAGCAGCCGAGCGGCAGGGGUACGCUCGCAGAGCGGCCGGGCUUUGAAUACAUGGAGAAGAAGAGUGGGAGACAGGAAAAAAGGUAAGAUUAGAAGACGAAAGGGGGGAGAAAGGGGAAGCGCUGAUGACCACCAACACAAUAAACUAUCCUGGACUACC
Molecule: long non-coding RNA, 356 nt
Organism: Panthera uncia (snow leopard)
Lineage: Eukaryota; Metazoa; Chordata; Mammalia; Carnivora; Felidae
Exons: 2
Source: RefSeq, a predicted model, not a curated record